RNAcentral lists this long non-coding RNA (1002 nucleotides) under Chrysemys picta bellii (western painted turtle). RNAcentral's name for it is "lncRNA (ENSCPBG00000013839.1)". The record is from RNAcentral. Lineage: Eukaryota; Metazoa; Chordata; Testudines; Emydidae.
UACAUGAUGCCAAACUGGGAGGGAUUGCAACUACUUUGGAGGACAGGGUAAUGAUCUGGACAAAUUGGAGAAAUGGUCUGAGGUAAACAGGAUGAAGUUUUACAAAGACAAAUGCAAAGUGCUCCACUUAGGAAGAAAAAAUCAGUUUCACACAUACAGAAUGGGAAGAGACUGUCUAGGAAGGACUAUGGCAGAAAGGGAUCUAGGGGCUCUAGUGGACCACAAGCUAAAUAUGAGUCAACAGUAUGAUGCUGUUGCAAAAAAAGCAAACAUGAUUCUGGGAUGUAUUAACAGGUGUGUUGUGAGCAAGACACGAGAAGUCAUUCUUCCGCUCUACUCUGCACUGGUUAGGUCUCAGCUGGAGUAUUGUGUCCAGUUCUGGGCACCGCAUUUCAAGAAAGAUGUGGAGAAAUUGGAGAGGGUCCAGAGAAGAGCAACAAGAAUGAUUAAAGGUCUUGAGAACAUGACCUCUGAAGGAAGGCUAAAAGAAUUGGGUUUGUUUAGUUUGGAAAAGAGAAGACUGAGAGGGGACAUGAUAGCAGUUUUCAGGUAUCUAAAAGGGGGUCAUAAGGAGGAGGGAGAAAACUUGUUCACCUUAGCCUCUAAGGAUAGAACAAGAAGCAAUGGGCUUAAACUGCAGCAAGGGAGGUCUAGGUUGGACAUUAGGAAAAUGUUCCUAACUGUCAGGGUAGUUAAACACUGGAAUAAAUUGCUUAGGGAGGUUGUGCAAUCUCCAUCUCUGGAGAUAUUUAAGAGUAGGUUAGAUAAAUGUCUAUCAGGGAUGGUCUAGACAGUAUUUGAUCCUGCCAUGCGGGCACGGGACUGGACUCGAUGACCUCUCGAGGUCCCUUCCAGUCCUAGAAUCUAUGAAUCUAUGAAUCUCCCUGGUCACUCAAUAACAGACCUAAAAGUGUCAAUUCUUCAACAAAACAAACUUCAAAAACAGACUCCAAUGUGAAACUGCAGAACUGGAAUUAAUUUGCAAACUGGACACCAUCAGAU